This 539-nucleotide ribosomal RNA is filed under the name uncultured archaeon. Its description in RNAcentral is "bacterial SSU rRNA". It matches the Rfam family "Bacterial small subunit ribosomal RNA", at positions 513 to 1050 of the family's 1533-position model. The record is from RNAcentral.
CGCCGCGGUAACACGUAGGGGGCAAACGUUGUCCGGAAUUACUGGGCGUAAAGCGCGCGUAGGCGGUCAAUUAAGUCAGGUGUGAAAGGCCCGGGCUUAACCCGGGUAUUGCACUUGAAACUGAUUGACUUGAGGACAGGCGAGGGAAGUGGAAUUCCUAGUGUAGCGGUGAAAUGCGUAGAUAUUAGGAAGAACACCAGUGGCGAAGGCGACUUCCUGGACUGUAACUGACGCUGAGGUGCGAAAGCGUGGGUAGCGAACAGGAUUAGAUACCCUGGUAGUCCACGCUGUAAACGAUGGAUACUAGGUGUAGGAGGUUUCAAUACCAUCUGUGCCGUAGUUAACGCAAUAAGUAUCCCGCCUGGGGAGUACGACCGCAAGGUUGAAACUCAAAGGAAUUGACGGGGGCCCGCACAAGCAGCGGAGCAUGUGGUUUAAUUCGAAGCAACGCGAAGAACCUUACCAGGGCUUGACAUCUCCUGCCAACUGUAGAAAUACAGCCUUCCCUUUUGGGACAGGAAGACAGGUGGUGCAUGGCC